RNAcentral lists this transfer RNA (68 nucleotides) under chicken gut metagenome. It matches the Rfam family "tRNA". From Rfam's summary of the family: Transfer RNA (tRNA) molecules are approximately 80 nucleotides in length. Their secondary structure includes four short double-helical elements and three loops (D, anti-codon, and T loops). Further hydrogen bonds mediate the characteristic L-shaped molecular structure. tRNAs have two regions of fundamental functional importance: the anti-codon, which is responsible for specific mRNA codon recognition, and the 3' end, to which the tRNAs corresponding amino acid is attached (by aminoacyl-tRNA synthetases). tRNAs cope with the degeneracy of the genetic code in two manners: having more than one tRNA (with a specific anti-codon) for a particular amino acid; and 'wobble' base-pairing, i.e. permitting non-standard base-pairing at the 3rd anti-codon position. The record is from RNAcentral.
CGCGUGGCGCAGUGGUAGCGCAGUUGACUCUUAAUCAAUUGGUCGUGGGUUCGAAUCCCACUGCGCCC